RNAcentral lists this ribosomal RNA (433 nucleotides) under uncultured bacterium. RNAcentral's name for it is "partial 16S ribosomal RNA". It matches the Rfam family "Bacterial small subunit ribosomal RNA", at positions 29 to 507 of the family's 1533-position model. The record is from RNAcentral.
AACGAACGCUGGCGGCAUGCCUAACACAUGCAAGUCGUACGAGACCUUCGGGUCUAGUGGCGCACGGGUGCGUAACGCGUGGGAACCUGCCCUUAGGUUCGGAAUAACUCCCCGAAAGGGGUGCUAAUACCGGAUAAUGUCUUCGGACCAAAGAUUUAUCGCCUUUGGAUGGGCCCGCGUUGGAUUAGCUAGUUGGUAGGGUAAAAGCCUACCAAGGCGACGAUCCAUAGCUGGUCUGAGAGGAUGAUCAGCCACACUGGGACUGAGACACGGCCCAGACUCCUACGGGAGGCAGCAGUGGGGAAUAUUGGACAAUGCGCGAAAGCCUGAUCCAGCAAUGCCGCGUGAGUGAUGAAGGCCUUAGGGUUGUAAAGCUCUUUUACCCGGGAUGAUAAUGACAGUACCGGGAGAAUAAGCUCCGGCUAACUCCGUG